ACGGGGGGGGCAAGCGUUGUUCGGAAUUACUGGGCGUAAAGGGUUCGUAGGUGGCUUGUUAAGUCAGACGUGAAAUCCCUCGGCUCAACCGGGGAACUGCGUCUGAGACUGAUGAGCUCGAGUGCAGGAGAGGAACGCGGAAUUCCAGGUGUAGCGGUGAAAUGCGUAGAUAUCUGGAGGAACACCGGUGGCGAAGGCGGCGUUCUGGACUGCAACUGACACUGAGGAACGAAAGCCAGGGGAGCAGACGGGA
This 253-nucleotide ribosomal RNA is filed under the name uncultured prokaryote. Its description in RNAcentral is "partial 16S ribosomal RNA". It matches the Rfam family "Bacterial small subunit ribosomal RNA", at positions 525 to 777 of the family's 1533-position model. The record is from RNAcentral.